This 382-nucleotide ribosomal RNA is filed under the name uncultured bacterium. RNAcentral describes it as "bacterial SSU rRNA". It matches the Rfam family "Bacterial small subunit ribosomal RNA", at positions 518 to 898 of the family's 1533-position model. The record is from RNAcentral.
CGGUAAUACGUAGGGUGCGAGCGUUAAUCGGAAUUACUGGGCGUAAAGCGUGCGCAGGCGGAUUGUUAAGCAAGACGUGAAAUCCUCGAACUUAACUCGGAGAUGGCGUUUUGAACUGGCAGUCUAGAGUGUGUCAGAGGGGGGUGGAAUUCCACGUGUAGCAGUGAAAUGCGUAGAGAUGUGGAGGAACACCGAUGGCGAAGGCAGCCCCCUGGGAUAACACUGACGCUCAUGUACGAAAGCGUGGGUAGCAAGUAGGAUUAGAUACCUCGGUAGUCCACGCCCUAAACGAUGUCAACUGGUUGUUGGGGGAGUGAAAUCCCUUAGUAACGAAGCUAACGCGUGAAGUUGACCGCCUGGGGAGUACGGUCGCAAGAUUAAA